AGAUCAUUACUGAGUGUAAAAAACUCCAAACCCUUUGUGAACAUACCUCUGUUGCCUCGGCGGGAUACCCCAACUACCCUGUAAGACUGCCGGGUAGGGGUCGACCCCGCCGGUGGUGUUCUUAUAAUUCUUGCAAUCCAGUGGACCUCUGAGUUAGUAUCGAAAUAAGUUAAAACUUUCAACAACGGAUCUCUUGGUUCUGGCAUCGAUGAAGAACGCAGCGAAAUGCGAUAAGUAAUGUGAAUUGCAGAAUUCAGUGAAUCAUCGAAUCUUUGAACGCACAUUGCGCCCAUUAGUAUUCUAGUGGGCAUGCCUGUUCGAGCGUCAUUUCAACCCUUAAGCCCUGUUGCUUAGUGUUGGGGGCUUACCGCCGGGUAACCCCCUAAAGUCAGUUGGCAGGCUCGCUAGACGUCCUGAGUGUAGUAAACAUUCUCGCUUCUGCGGCUCUAGCGGUUCUCGCCACAAGCCUAUUAUCAUUUUAGUGGUUGACCUCGGAUCAGGUAGGAAUACCCGCUGAACUUAAGCAUAUCAAUAAGCGGAGGAAAAGAAACCAACAGGGAUUGCCCUAGUAACGGCGAGUGAAGCGGCAACAGCUCAAAUUUGAAAUCUGGCCUUCUGGUCCGAAUUGUAAUUUGUAGAGGAAACUUUUGGUGCGGCGCCUUCCGAGUUCCCUGGAACGGGACGCCUUAGAGGGUGAGAGCCCCGUACGGUUGGACGCCUAUCCUCUGUAAAGUUCCUUCGACGAGUCGAGUAGUUUGGGAAUGCUGCUCUAAAUGGGAGGUAUAUUUCUUCUAAAGCUAAAUACCGGCCAGAGACCGAUAGCGCACAAGUAGAGUGAUCGAAAGAUGAAAAGCACUUUGAAAAGAGGGUUAAAUAGCACGUGAAAUUGUUGAAAGGGAAGCGCUUAUGACCAGACUUUUUCCAGGCGGAUCAGCCGGUGUUCUCACCGGUGCACUUCGCCUGGUCUAGGCCAGCGUCGAUUUCCGCAGGGGGACAAAGGCUUCGGGAAUGUGACUCCUCCC
This 1022-nucleotide ribosomal RNA is filed under the name Xylariomycetidae sp. ARIZ FL2152. RNAcentral describes it as "eukaryotic LSU rRNA". The stretch from base 487 to 1022 matches the Rfam family "Eukaryotic large subunit ribosomal RNA", at positions 1 to 547 of the family's 3401-position model. The record is from RNAcentral. Lineage: Eukaryota; Fungi; Ascomycota; Sordariomycetes.